Small nuclear RNA from Eutrema salsugineum, 103 nucleotides. NCBI's taxonomy places the organism in Eukaryota, Viridiplantae, Streptophyta, Magnoliopsida, Brassicales, Brassicaceae. The record is from Rfam.
GACCCUUUGGGAACAUCCGAUAAAAUUAGAACAAUACAGAGAAGAAUAGCAUGGCCUCUGCGAAAAGAUGACAUCCACAAAUUGAGAAAUUGUCCAAAUUUUU